Long non-coding RNA from Lagopus muta (rock ptarmigan), 3565 nucleotides. RefSeq lists it as uncharacterized. The record is from RefSeq and is a predicted model, not a curated record. The transcript is spliced from 3 exons. Lineage: Eukaryota; Metazoa; Chordata; Aves; Galliformes; Phasianidae.
CCACAGAAAGCAGCAUUACGACACGACAUGCAUUUCAGGGCAUCCUGAGGAGCAUAUGGUGCUACCUGCCUAACAAUGCUUCCUUCUGCAGCAACGCUGACACAAGCAUCCAAGGCACACUGAGCAGGUCUCCAUCUAUCUACCUGCUCAGCUACCUGGAGGCAUUUUGCUAUUCAGAUGUAUAUUGCAAAGACAUUUCCACAAUUAGAGAAAUUGUUUGAAAUUUGUAAGUAAUAUGCAAUAUUUAUCACGUUUUGCAAGUAGCUCCAUGCUAUUAGCAAACAGAAACAGCAGUCUGGCGGGGAGGAUAAUUUCAACCACAAUAAAGGAGGAACACCAUUUAGCUUACUGCAAUUAAACAUUUUUCCCAUUGAUGAAUUUGUCUCAGUACGUCCAAAAUGCAGAUUUCUUCCCCAGCUUCUCAAAUUGCAUUUUAUCAGACAGUGAUAGAGACACGCAAGAUAAAUCAUCUUUUAUCUGACACGUGCAGCAUGGCUUCAUUUGAAUAUAGAACUGGUUGAAAGUAAACCAGCUGCCCCGUAUCACCUCUUAUCCUACACAGAGAAGCAUUUCAGGCUCAGGAGAACCUAUUAUCCCACUGAUUCGGCCAUAACUUUUCCAAACAACCGCCUGACAGCCCCAGCUUGCAGCACUUCCCUGCGACCCUCCGGCAGCUCCCUCCCUGCUCUCUCUCACUUCCUCAGCACUGGAUCCCUGUCGCUCCCGGGGCACUGUUCUUUUCAAGAGAAAAAGUAAUAGGAGCUUUGGUGGCUUAGUCUGAUUCUGUGCUUGGAAGGUAACAGCAACCCGCCCAUCAGGCAUCAUGUGGGGUAUUUCUGGGAGGGACUUCUUAUAAGCCUGAGACUCAGCCAGGGAAAGGAUGGGGUGAUCUUCAUUAGUGCACGCCUGUUGGAAGCUACUUUCCACACACAGUUAUACCUGAGCCCAUCAGCCUGAAGGUACUCCUAGCAGCCCAAGUCAGAGGGGAAGAAGAAGGACCCACAUCUCCUCUCCACUGAGCAUUGUGGGAGCCUGGAAGGAUCUUACUACAGGCAUACCCCUUUGGCUGCAUGUAUCACCCAAUUAACUCUCUGUGCAGGGCAGAAAGGGGGAACAGCAAGCAGAUCCUCUUGGGUAGGCGUCCAGUUCCCUGCCUGCCCUAGUUGGAGCUGUUUGCUGUUGGUAGGACAGAGUUUCACAGUCAAAUUGAUUGUUGAACCACAGCAAAGACAUGAGAAGUCCUAGAAAUCUCUGGCUACAUCUGGGCUGUCAGUGCUCACAUGGAGACAAAUUCUGCCACAGCCACUCUGAAGGAGGACAGAGUUGCAAGAGGGAGGAUGAAAUAUCCAGAAGAUGGGAAACAGCAGUAGAAAAUUUGUACACUGCAAGAGGCUCAUCUCUUCUUUCAAUGAAAGAACCUGAUGAGGAAGCUCAAGCAGUGCAAAACACUACUCCUGGCACUGAACUGCAGCACAAUGCACUGGGGAACAGUUUGUGGCUGGAAAAAGAUGGUAUGUAGAGAUCUUGCAGCCCCUAGUAAUGAAGCUAAGAUAGUGAAUGUGAGGUGGUGGUCUUGUCCACUGUGUGGUCUUCAGCUCCUCAAACUCUAGAAGAUCUGCCCUGCUGUGCAGGAGCUGAGGUGACUCCUUUUAUAUGAGAAAACAGCAAAUGUGGGCUGAUGGAAAUUCCUGCCUUGCCUACAGGUAGUGUUAAGGUAAGACACAUUCUUGAUCCUCUGAUCAAUGAAAAAGGGGGGAAAAGAAAAAAGAUACUACCCUAAAUUCACCCAAAAUAUAACACAUUGCAAUUUGGUGUAAUGAUGUCAGGUAUUAACUUCUUCUCAAUAAUUAUAAAGCAUUCCUUCAGCAAAAGUAAGACAAAGUUUUAAUAUUGUCCAACUAAGCUGAAUGCUGCAUUAUGUCACAUAACUGAAUGCUGCAGUACUGUAUACCCCACGUGGGCCACUUAAUUAAAUUGAAUGCACCAAAUAAAUAAACAAAUAAAUAAAUAAAAAUUAACCUGCAUAUGUUAUUAUAGUUCAGCCCUUGAGAGCAUUUUUAGAAGAAAGGUAAAAACUAUAAGGAAUUACGCAGUUUUGAACUGCUAUAAUAUGUCACUGCUUGCUACACAGAGUUAGCACUUACAGAGAAUAGCUGAAAUAAAAUAUUAUUUACUUCCAGCAGUCUUCAUGAGUGUAUAAGAAGGCAUAAAAAAAUGUAUGCUUCAGUUUUAUACACAAAAAACUUCUUUCUUCUUUUCCCUCAUGAUUAUUUCACUGAGGAGAAUCAUAGAAUGGGUUGGGUUGGAAGGGACCUUAAUGAUUAUCCACUUCCAACCUCCCUGCCACAGGGAUAUCCCAAAAAGGGAUAGCUCUGCCCUACACAGCGCUUGCUGCCCUGCUAGGAAUUAAACGACACCGACUGGCUCAAGGGAGAGAUGCGUGCGCAGCAAGCAACAUUGAUUUAUAAGGUAUAUCUAAAAGGCUGAUAGCUUGGUAGCAUGAUCCAGCCCGACCCCUUGCCUACUUUUAUCGGACCUCCAUGGACUGCUGGAGCUACAAAAGUCUAACAAUGAUGGUGUUGCAUAUUUACCAUAUGAUAGCUAGAAGCUAGGCUUGUUUCUCCAUGCAUCCACGUACCCUUCCUGUGUCAGAAGCACCAACAUUUGCUACAUAUUUUAGUUAGGGAUUGGGGUGGGAUCAUUGGCUGAAUGCCCCACCAAAAAAUAAACAUCUCCAUUUAAGUCGGUGGCUGCUUUGCCUGAAGAAGGACGGCAAGGUACAGGGUCUGCUUCUCAUCUCACUUACUGAGAAGUCUAAACCCAUGGAAUUGUACCAGUGAAACAGGUGUGAGACCUGACCACGGCCCUUGGCCUUUAAAAAGUUCACAAACCAAAUUCUGUUCCUAGCAAUUGCUUUUUGAAACCAAGUACCUAAAUAUACCAUUGCUGUGGGCUGGUAAGUUAAAACCAGUGCUGAAAUGAGAAGUAGCCAUGUUCUCAACAGAACUGGUUCCACUGUGUUUUGCUUUAAAACAUAUGGAUUAUGCAAUUUAAUUUUGGUUUUUUUUUGGUGUAGAUGGUUGCAUUUGUUUGGAGGGAAGAAGCGCACGUUCCUCUCCGAAACUCUUAUCUGUAUUUUUGCAACAGUCAAGAUGUUGCAAACAUCUUGCAAACAUGAAGACCAUGCUAAACAUUAAGGUCGUGACUAUGGAAGUGUUAGGACUGACUCCAAGCCAGGCUUUCAGAUCCACCCAUUUGUGGUGCACGGCAGGGUCACGGCCGAGCAGAGUGUGCCGCAAGCCCGUCCUUACAGGUAAAUACGUGAGAUUGGAUAAUGCUCUCGCGGACUGAGCUGUCAUGCUCAUUUAAUGCUAUGGAACCCAGCAGAGUCCUGUCUGAAAGCACAGCUGGACGUGGACCUCGGUGUUUGCAGAACGACCCCGAGACUCCCUGGCCAACCAGCUAGGAAUGCAGCUCAUGAGUCAUUUCCAUGCAGAAAACAAACAAAGAAAAGCGAGACAUACUCGUGAAUAGUCGAGCUCCCUGGGCGUGGAGUCGGUUAAAG